This 403-nucleotide ribosomal RNA is filed under the name uncultured bacterium. RNAcentral's name for it is "bacterial SSU rRNA". It matches the Rfam family "Bacterial small subunit ribosomal RNA", at positions 355 to 773 of the family's 1533-position model. The record is from RNAcentral.
UGAGGAAUUUUCCGCAAUGGGCGAAAGCCUGACGGAGCAAUGCCGCGUGGAGGAUGAAAGCCCAUGGGUCGUAAACUCCUUUUCUCAGAGAAGAAUUUCUGACGGUAUCUGAGGAAUAAGCAUCGGCUAACUCCGUGCCAGCAGCCGCGGUAAGACGGGGGAUGCAAGUGUUAUCCGGAAUAAUUGGGCGUAAAGCGUCUGUAGGUGGUUUACCAAGUCUGUUGUUAAAAUCCAGGGCUUAACCCUGAUCCGGCAACAGAAACUAGUAAGCUUGAGUACGGUAGGGGCAGAGGGAAUUCUCGGUGUAGUGGUGAAAUACGUAGAUAUCGAGAAGAACACCAAUAGCGAAAGCACUCUGCUGGGCCGAAACUGACAUUGAGAGACGAAAGCUAGGGGAGCGAAA